UUCCUACCUAUGAUGAUAGCUUUGAGA
This 27-nucleotide small RNA is filed under the name Bombyx mori (domestic silkworm). RNAcentral describes it as "ovarian small RNA-37274". Lineage: Eukaryota; Metazoa; Arthropoda; Insecta; Lepidoptera; Bombycidae. The record is from RNAcentral.